AUCCUGCCGGAGGCCAUUGCUAUUGGGAUCCGAUUUAGCCAUGCUAGUCGCACGAGUUCAGACUCGUGGCGAAUAGCUCAGUAACACGUGGCCAAACUACCCUUCGGAACACAAUACCCUCGGGAAACCGAGGCUAAUAGUGUAUACCAUACCACCACUGGAAUGAGUGGUAUGCCAAACGCUCCGGCGCCGAAGGAUGUGGCUGCGGCCGAUUAGGUAGACGGUGGGGUAACGGCCCACCGUGCCAAUAAUCGGUACGGGUCAUGAGAGUGAGAACCCGGAGACGGAAUCUGAGACAAGAUUCCGGGCCCUACGGGGCGCAGCAGGCGCGAAACCUUUACACUGCACGACAGUGCGAUAGGGGGAUCCCAAGUGCACAGGCAUAGCGCCUGUGCUUUUCGGUACCGUAAGGUGGUACCAGAAUAAGGGCUGGGCAAGACCGGUGCCAGCCGCCGCGGUAAUACCGGCAGCCCAAGUGAUGGCCGAUCUUAUUGGGCCUAAAGCGUCCGUAGCUGGCCGCGCAAGUCCAUCGGGAAAUCCACCUGCUCAACAGGUGGGCGCCCGGUAGAAACUGCGUGGCUUGGGACCGGAAGGCGCGACGGGUACGUCCGGGGUAGGAGUGAAAUCCCGUAAUCCUGGACGGACCGCCGAUGGCGAAAGCACGUCGCGAGAACGGAUCCGACAGUGAGGGACGAAAGCCAGGGUCUCGAACCGGAUUAGAUACCCGGGUAGUCCUGGCCGUAAACAAUGUCUGCUAGGUGUGGCUCCCACUACGAGUGGGUGCUGUGCCGUAGGGAAGCCGCUAAGCAGACCGCCUGGGAAGUACGUCCGCAAGGAUGAAACUUAAAGGAAUUGGCGGGGGAGCACUACAACCGGAGAGCCUGCGGUUUAAUUGGACUCAACGCCGGACAUCUCACCAGCAUCGACUGUAUAAUGACGACCAGGUUGAUGACCUUGUCCGAGUUUCAGAGAGGAGGUGCAUGGCCGCGUCAGCUCGUACCGUGAGGCGUCCUGUUAAGUCAGGCACGAGCGAGAACCCGCACCCUUACUGCCAGCAGUACCGCGAGUACUGGGACAGUAGGGGACCGCCUGGCCUAAACCGAGAGAACGGGCACCGUAGUCAGAUAUGCCGAAGGCUGGCACACCGGCUAAUGGUCGACAAGUCCACUCGAAGGAACGAUUCGAAACCUAUCUGAUUCGAAUAUUUGUCUCU
RNAcentral lists this ribosomal RNA (1213 nucleotides) under Halorubrum sp. B12-RDX. RNAcentral's name for it is "bacterial SSU rRNA". It matches the Rfam family "Archaeal small subunit ribosomal RNA", at positions 11 to 1246 of the family's 1478-position model. Lineage: Archaea; Methanobacteriati; Methanobacteriota; Halobacteria; Halobacteriales; Haloferacaceae. The record is from RNAcentral.